Long non-coding RNA from Neofelis nebulosa (Clouded leopard), 1056 nucleotides. RefSeq lists it as uncharacterized. The record is from RefSeq and is a predicted model, not a curated record. The transcript is spliced from 3 exons. Lineage: Eukaryota; Metazoa; Chordata; Mammalia; Carnivora; Felidae.
GCUUCCACAUUGUGAGAUGCUCCUGGGAGAGGCUCUCAUGGCAAAGGAAUUGAGGGAAGCCUUGGUCCCACCACCCACGAGGAACUAAAUCCUACUAACAACCAUGUGACUGAGUUCGGGAGCAGAUCAUUUCCAGUGGAGCCCUGAAAGGACUAUAGCUUUGUGUCAGAUCUGGAGCUGGAAGAUGCUGAAGUCCCAUUUGUAAGCCACCCUUCUAUAGUAGCAGUGGAUUCAGGGAGGAAGGAUGGUGCCAGGGAGAGCAAGGAGCCAAAGAACUGAGAAGUGGACAAGGACCUCCGUUCUGGUAGCUACAUACGUUUGGGGAUCUGGGAAGAACGUCCUCCGAAUGGAAGGAUUAGCCAGCCAGGGGCUUGGACCAGACUCCUGAGCAUCAGAACCCUGAGAAGAAAAUGGAGCAAUAUGAACUACAGACAUUCACCACCAGGGGACGCUGCCACCUGUACCAGGGCUAUUCCCAAACCUGAGGACUUCAGCUUAGUGACUAAGCAUAUUUUCUAUAACUUUACACAGUACCUUUGCUUGUGUGCACACUCUCUUCUAGCUCUAAGAUACGAGAUUCAGUAAUGUUGUAAAGUUAGUUCCUCAAUGCUAAGGGUUUUGUCAUGAUCCUGAAAGUCCCCAGAAUCAAAUAUAUGCUGUUGGGAAAAACGGGGUCAUGGGAAUAAUAAUCAUGUGCGAACUUUUGAAAGCGUAUACGCUGUAGUUUAAAUCUGUACAUAUAUAAAAUUCACUCAUGUAGGUACAAAACUCCAAUCACUUAUCUCUUUAUACACCUACAUGAAAGAAACAAAGCAUACCCAUAUAUUUCUCCGUAGUUAAGAAUAGUUCUAUUUUGAACUCUUUGGGGACAUUUUUAUCAUUUUUAUCUUCUAAAUAUUAAUAGUAUUAUUUAAUUUCCAGUAUGAUUUAUUUUGUGAAAAUUUUGCUCACCUACAACUAAAAACCUACCAAUUUAAGCCACCAUUUCUAGCCAUUUAUAGAAAGAAAUGUGUAUGUGUGUAUGUAUAUAUGGAUACCUCAAGUCUCUUUUCUACC